AUGGGAUUCCGUGAAUUUCGCUUAUUCAACCAAGCUCUGUUGGCGCGCCAAGCUUGGCGAAUACUAACUCAACCAGUCAGCUUGUGCUCACGAGUCAUGAAGGCUAAGUAUUUCCCUACUGGGAAACUAGAGGACACAGCUUUUCCUUCUAAUUCUUCACCAACUUGGCAAGCCAUUGCUCACGGGCUUGAACUUCUGAAGUGGGGCAUCAUUUGGAGGGUGGGUAAUGGCCAAUCAAUACGCAUAUGGAGAGACCGCUGGAUCCCGAAUGGUGGCUUUGGUAAACCGAUUACCGAGCAGGGCCGGUGUCGUCUGCGGAGAGUGUCCGAGCUGCUGGAUGAACGGGGAGCAUGGCGUAUGGACCUUCUGCAGCAGUAUUUUGCCCCUGUGGAUGUUGCGCAGAUUGUUAAAAUUCGAACCUGCACACAUCUAGGAGAGGAUGUCCUCGCUUGGGAACCGGAGCGUAAUUGUAUCUUCACGAAGGUGCGUGUGUUUGCAUGGAGAGUAGUGAUAGAUUGUCUCCCUACUUGGACAAAUAAACAUUCUCGUAAUCUUGAAGUGUCUAACCUUUGUCCUGUGUGUGCCACCGAACCGGAGGACACUUUCCAUGAUCUUUGUAGAUGCCCCCGAGUGGUCGCCCUAUGGCUGUCAAUGGCGAAGCAAUGGAACAUCCCAGAUGUCCGGCAGUUUGUGAACACAGGGCCGAAGUGGCUCUUCCAUGUGCUUGCUGACCUGCCAGAGGAGGAGCGCAUGUACACGCUCAUGACGAUUUGGCGCUGCUGGCAUGUCAGAAAUAAGAUCGUCCAUGACAAACGACCACCACCAGUAGAGGCCUCAACAAGGUUCUUGUCCAGCUAUAUCAGCUCCUUGCUGGCCCUUCAAGCGGAUCCUCGUGGCGAUCAUGUCAAAGGAAAUAUGGUGGCCACUCCCCAGGUCAAGAGGAAGCAAGUAGCGCAUGUCUACCAAGCAAAGGAGCAGACAUUCAGAUGGGAGGCACCGCCGGCCGGUUAGGUGGCGCUCAACAUUGACGGAUCCUUCUGUGACAAAGACGGGAGUGCUGGGGCUGGUAUGGUUCUCAGGGACGAACAUGGAGAUAUCAUCUUCUCUUCUAGCCGAGAGUUACGGCAAUGUAUGUCCCCGUUGGAGUCUGAACAUGCAGCAUGCAUGGAGGGCAUUUCCCUAGCCUCACAAUGGUUUGCACUACCGAUUGUUGUCCAAACGGACUUCCUGGACGUGACCAAGCUGAUUAAUGAAGGAGGAGAGAACCAGUCUGAGCGUAUGAUGAUGGUACGUGAGAUUACUAAGCUUCUACACGACCGUGGGGAAUUUCUAGUCAAGCAUGUAAGGAGAGAACAAAAUGUUGUUAGCCACUUUUUAGCAAACUAUGGUAGAAUAAAAAAGCGCACCACGGUGUGGCUUUGA
This 1422-nucleotide ribosomal RNA is filed under the name Triticum aestivum (bread wheat). RNAcentral's name for it is "partial small subunit ribosomal RNA". The record is from RNAcentral. Lineage: Eukaryota; Viridiplantae; Streptophyta; Magnoliopsida; Poales; Poaceae.